ACGGCUCAGUAACACGUGGACAACCUACCCUCAGCACGGGGAUAAACCCGGGAAACUGGGUAUAAUACCCGAUAGUUCUGGGAUGCUGGAAUGCUUCCAGGACAAAAGCUCCGGCGACUGAGGAUGGGUCUGCGGCCUAUCAGGUAGUAGUGGGUGUAAUGUACCUACUAGCCUACGACGGGUACGGGUCGUGAGAGCGAGAGCCCGGAGAUGGAUUCUGAGACACGGAUCCAGGCCCUACGGGGUGCAGCAGGCGCGAAAACUUUACAAUGCUGGCAACAGCGAUAAGGGGACCUCGAGUGCCAGGAUACAAUCUUGGCUGUCGUGAUGCCUAAAAAGCAUUACAUAGCAAGGGCCGGGCAAGACCGGUGCCAGCCGCCGCGGUAACACCGGCGGCUCGAGUGGUAACCGCUAUUAUUGGGUCUAAAGGGUCUGUAGCCGGCCGGAUAAGUCUUUUGGGAAAUCCAGCUGCUCAACAGUUGGGCUUUCAGAAGAUACUGUUCGGCUCGAGGCCGGGAGAGGUGAGAGGUACUUCAGGGGUAGGGGUGAAAUCUUGUAAUCCUUGAAGGACCACCAGUGGCGAAGGCGUCUCACCAGAACGGUCCUGACGGCAAGGGACGAAAGCUAGGGGCACGAACCGGAUUAGAUACCCGGGUAGUCCUAGCCGUAAACGAUACUCGCUAGGUGUCAGCCACGGUGCGACCGUGGUUGGUGCCGUAGGGAAGCCGUGAAGCGAGCCACCUGGGAAGUACGGCCGCAAAGCUGAAACUUAAAGGAAUUGGCGGGGGAGCACAGGAAUUGGCGGGGAGCAC
This 812-nucleotide ribosomal RNA is filed under the name uncultured archaeon. RNAcentral's name for it is "bacterial SSU rRNA". It matches the Rfam family "Archaeal small subunit ribosomal RNA", at positions 85 to 898 of the family's 1478-position model. The record is from RNAcentral.